AACGAACGCUGGCGGCAGGCCUAACACAUGCAAGUCGAGCGCCCUUUCGGGGGAGCGGCGGACGGGUGAGUACCGCGUGGGAAUAUGCCCUUCUCUACGGAAUAGCCUCGGGAAACUGAGAGUAAUACCGUAUACGCCCUGUGGGGGAAAGAUUUAUCGGGGAAGGAUUAGCCCGCGUUGGAUUAGGUAGUUGGUGGGGUAAUGGCCUACCAAGCCGACGAUCCAUAGCUGGUUUGAGAGGAUGAUCAGCCACACUGGGACUGAGACACGGCCCAGACUCCUACGGGAGGCAGCAGUGGGGAAUCUUAGACAAUGGGGGCAACCCCGAUCUAGCCAUGCCGCGUGAGUGAUGAAGGCCUUAGGGUUGUAAAGCUCUUUCAGCUGGGAAGAUAAUGACGGUACCAGCAGAAGAAGCCCCGGCUAACUCCGUG
This 431-nucleotide ribosomal RNA is filed under the name uncultured bacterium. RNAcentral's name for it is "partial 16S ribosomal RNA". It matches the Rfam family "Bacterial small subunit ribosomal RNA", at positions 29 to 507 of the family's 1533-position model. The record is from RNAcentral.